RNAcentral lists this ribosomal RNA (460 nucleotides) under uncultured bacterium. Its description in RNAcentral is "partial 16S ribosomal RNA". It matches the Rfam family "Bacterial small subunit ribosomal RNA", at positions 338 to 795 of the family's 1533-position model. The record is from RNAcentral.
CCUACGGGGUGCAGCAGUGAGGAAUAUUGGUCAAUGGCCGGAAGGCUGAACCAGCCAUGCCGCGUGAAGGUCAGUGCCCUAUGGGCGUUAAACUUCUUUUGUGCGGGAGCAAUAAUGGUCACGUGUGGCCAGACGAGAGUACCGUACGAAUAAGCAUCGGCUAACUCCGUGCCAGCAGCCGCGGUAAUACGGGGGAUGCAAGCGUUAUCCGGAUUUAUUGGGUUUAAAGGGUGCGUAGGCUGUGAGGUAAGUCAGCGGUGAAAUGCCACCGCGCACCGGGGUGAAGUGCCAUUGAUACUGCCGUGCUGGAAUGCGGAUGCCGUGGGAGGAAUGUGUGGUGUAGCGGUGAAAUACAUAGAUAUCACACAGAACACCGAUUGCGAAGGCAUCUCACGAAUCCGCGAUUGACGCUGAUGCACGAAAGCGUGGGUAUCAAACAGGAUUAGAUACCCCGGUAGUC